This 63-nucleotide transfer RNA is filed under the name Coptotettix longtanensis. Its description in RNAcentral is "tRNA-Gly". Lineage: Eukaryota; Metazoa; Arthropoda; Insecta; Orthoptera; Tetrigidae. RNAcentral also lists the same sequence under 1 other name. The record is from RNAcentral.
AUUUUUCUAGUAUAUAAGUACAUUUGACUUCCAAUCAAAAAGUUUGAAAAUUCAAGAAAAAUA